AUACGGAGGGCGCAAGCGUUGUUCGGAAUUACUGGGCGUAAAGCGCGUGUAGGCGGUUCGGCAAGUCGGAUGUGAAAUCCCGGGGCCCAACCCCGGAACUGCAUUCGAUACUGCCGAGCUAGAGUCCCGGAGAGGGUGGCGGAAUUCCCAGUGUAGAGGUGAAAUUCGUAGAUACUGGGAGGAACACCGGUGGCGAAGGCGGCCACCUGGACGGUGACUGACGCUGAGACGCGAAAGCGUGGGGAGCAAACAGGAUUAGAUACCCUAGUAGUCC
This 274-nucleotide ribosomal RNA is filed under the name uncultured bacterium. RNAcentral describes it as "partial 16S ribosomal RNA". It matches the Rfam family "Bacterial small subunit ribosomal RNA", at positions 523 to 796 of the family's 1533-position model. The record is from RNAcentral.